Molecule: ribosomal RNA, 404 nt
Filed under: uncultured bacterium
Lineage: Bacteria
Description: bacterial SSU rRNA
Rfam family: Bacterial small subunit ribosomal RNA
Source: RNAcentral
GAUGAACGCUGGCGGCGUGCUUAACACAUGCAAGUCGAACGAAGCACUUUAUUUGAUUUCCUUCGGGAUUGAUUAUUUUGUGACUGAGUGGCGGACGGGUGAGUAACGCGUGGGUAACCUGCCUUGUACAGGGGGAUAACAGUUGGAAACGGCUGCUAAUACCGCAUAAGCGCACAGCAUCGCAUGAUGCAGUGUGAAAAACUCCGGUGGUAUAAGAUGGACCCGCGUUGGAUUAGCUAGUUGGUGAGGUAACGGCCCACCAAGGCGACGAUCCAUAGCCGACCUGAGAGGGUGACCGGCCACAUUGGGACUGAGACACGGCCCAAACUCCUACGGGAGGCAGCAGUGGGGAAUAUUGCACAAUGGGCGAAAGCCUGAUGCAGCGACGCCGCGUGAGCGAAGAA